This 253-nucleotide ribosomal RNA is filed under the name uncultured bacterium. RNAcentral describes it as "partial 16S ribosomal RNA". It matches the Rfam family "Bacterial small subunit ribosomal RNA", at positions 524 to 776 of the family's 1533-position model. The record is from RNAcentral.
UACGUAGGGUGCGAGCGUUGUCCGGAAUUACUGGGCGUAAAGAGUGUGUAGGCGGUGCUCUAAGUUCGGUGUGAAAUCUCCCGGCUUAACUGGGAGGGUGCGCCGGAAACUGGAGUGCUCGAGCGUGGGAGAGGAAAGCGGAAUUCCUGGUGUAGCGGUGAAAUGCGUAGAUAUCAGGAGGAACACCUGCGGUGUAGACGGCUUUCUGGACCAUUGCUGACGCUGAGGCGCGAAAGCCAGGGGAGCAAACGGG